AACUAGCAGCCGCACGGGUCUGAGCUCGGCCUCUCAAUUUUGUUUCACUUUUCAAGGAUGAGUAUCUUUACUUUGAAAAUGAACUGGUCAUAUUUCUAUUGGAAAUGAAGUGAUGUUGCUUCCCAGGACCAAUUAGGAUGUAUACCUGAAGGAGUGAAUCUACUGGUUCAGCUGAAAAUUGAUCUCUAUUUGGUUUCUGUUUUUGUGUUUGGUUUUGCCGACCGCUCGUCCUUCGUAUGCUCAUCCAUCUUGGCUGCUCUGCUUGCCUGCUUCUCCACUCUAACUCAGGUUCUGCGAUCUCUUGUGUUGCUGCAUCCUGAUCUUCUGCUUUGUUGCAUCUCUGUUCUGCCAUCGAGAGGACGUGUCUGUACUUGAUGGGGUAGAAUUCAAAUUGUGAGGGAUGGUUGUGCUUAGAUUUGGUCGCUGCUGGUCGGUUCUUGAGUUCAGCGCAUGAAAACCUGCAACUACUAUCAAGCGAACCACAGGAGGGAGCAGCAGGCAUAGAAGAAAUCCCAAGCCAAUUUUGCUCAGCUGUAGCAUCUUCCACUGACAAUAAGUCUGCACAGCAGCCUGGUGAGGCUGAUGUUCUUGCUCAGUAUAAGCCAACAAUGGAGAAACUGACCAAGCUAUCUUUCAUGAUCAGUUACACACCAAGCCUAUAUUUUUGCUGCUUCUACACGUUGCUAUGAUGGUCAUUCAGCCCAUUUUCUCGAACCUGCACUACAACGAGAAAUUUGGGCUGCUUCUUUGUGGCUUCCAAACUUGAAAUGUUUGUUUGGAAGUUAAUUUAGAUUUUUGUUGUGGAUUCACAGCUUCUCACAUGUACCAUCCUC
Molecule: long non-coding RNA, 833 nt
Organism: Triticum aestivum (bread wheat)
Lineage: Eukaryota; Viridiplantae; Streptophyta; Magnoliopsida; Poales; Poaceae
Exons: 7
Source: RefSeq, a predicted model, not a curated record